RNAcentral lists this ribosomal RNA (421 nucleotides) under uncultured Porphyromonadaceae bacterium. Its description in RNAcentral is "bacterial SSU rRNA". It matches the Rfam family "Bacterial small subunit ribosomal RNA", at positions 356 to 774 of the family's 1533-position model. The record is from RNAcentral. Lineage: Bacteria; Pseudomonadati; Bacteroidota; Bacteroidia; Bacteroidales; Porphyromonadaceae.
GAGGAAUUUUGGUCAAUGGACGGAAGUCUGAACCAGCCAAGUCGCGUGAAGGAAGACGGUUCUAUGGAUUGUAUACUUCUUUUGUACAGGGGUAAAACGCUCUACGUGUAGAGCCUUGCAAUUACUGUACGAAUAAGCAUCGGCUAACUCCGUGCCAGCAGCCGCGGUAAUACGGAGGAUGCGAGCGUUAUCCGGAUUUAUUGGGUUUAAAGGGUGCGUAGGCGGUUUAUUAAGUCAGCGGUGAAAGUUUGAGGCUCAACCUUAAAAUUGCCGUUGAAACUGGUUAACUUGAGUGUAGAUGAAGUAGGCGGAAUUAGUGGUGUAGCGGUGAAAUGCAUAGAUAUCACUAGGAACUCCGAUUGCGAAGGCAGCUUACUAAGGUACAACUGACGCUGAUGCACGAAAGCGUGGGUAUCAAACA